RNAcentral lists this transfer RNA (89 nucleotides) under Berkelbacteria bacterium GW2011_GWE1_39_12. RNAcentral's name for it is "tRNA-Ser". It matches the Rfam family "tRNA". Rfam says of the family: Transfer RNA (tRNA) molecules are approximately 80 nucleotides in length. RNAcentral also lists the same sequence under 1 other name. The record is from RNAcentral. Lineage: Bacteria; Candidatus Berkelbacteria.
GGAAGGGUCGCAUAGCCCGGUUGAUUGCGCCGCUUUCGAAAAGCGGUAGGCUCGCAAGGGUCUCGUGGGUUCAAAUCCCACCCCUUCCG